GGCCAUGAUGAUUAAUGCAUAUUCUGACACCUCUUGUAUGAGAGUUGCUUCUCUAUUUUGGAAGCUCUUCUUUGAGCACAUAGGCAACUCACUGAGCC
This 98-nucleotide small nucleolar RNA is filed under the name Amborella trichopoda. RNAcentral's name for it is "snoRNA snoR1". It matches the Rfam family "Small nucleolar RNA snoR1". Rfam says of the family: snoR1 is a member of the C/D class of snoRNA which contain the C (UGAUGA) and D (CUGA) box motifs. Lineage: Eukaryota; Viridiplantae; Streptophyta; Magnoliopsida; Amborellales; Amborellaceae. The record is from Rfam by way of RNAcentral.